ACAACAUUAGGAUCGUCUGUCCACUGAGUAAAUUCACCCGCCCGGUGGAAGAACUUCUCUUUGUUAC
RNAcentral lists this microRNA precursor (67 nucleotides) under Bombyx mori (domestic silkworm). Its description in RNAcentral is "mir-2774 microRNA precursor family". It matches the Rfam family "mir-2774 microRNA precursor family". The record is from Rfam by way of RNAcentral. Lineage: Eukaryota; Metazoa; Arthropoda; Insecta; Lepidoptera; Bombycidae.